RNAcentral lists this ribosomal RNA (451 nucleotides) under uncultured bacterium. Its description in RNAcentral is "partial 16S ribosomal RNA". It matches the Rfam family "Bacterial small subunit ribosomal RNA", at positions 28 to 507 of the family's 1533-position model. The record is from RNAcentral.
AGCGAACGCUGGCGGCAUGCCUAACACAUGCAAGUCGCACGGGGGGGCUUCGGCCUCCCAGUGGCGGACGGGUGAGGAACGCGUAGGGACCUGUCGAGGGGUGGGGGAUAACCGCGGGAAACUGCGGCUAAUACCGCAUGACGCCGCGGCGUGACAGCCGGGGCCAAAGGCGAAAGCCGCCCGCCGAGGGGCCUGCGUCCGAUUAGCUGGUUGGCGGGGUAGCGGCCCACCAAGGCGUCGAUCGGUAGCUGGUCUGAGAGGGUGAUCAGCCACACCGGGACUGAGACACGGCCCGGACUCCUACGGGAAGCAGCAGUGGGGAAUAUUGGACAAUGGGCGCAAGCCUGAUCCAGCAAUGCCGCGUGGGUGAAGAAGGUCUUCGGAUUGUAAAGCCCUUUUGGCGGGGACGAUGGUGACGGUACCCGCAGAAGAAGCCCCGGCUAACUUCGUG